UUGGACCGUAUCAGAGGCAUCAAACUUG
This 28-nucleotide ribosomal RNA is filed under the name Pythium oligandrum. RNAcentral's name for it is "partial 28S ribosomal RNA". Lineage: Eukaryota; Oomycota; Peronosporomycetes; Pythiales; Pythiaceae. The record is from RNAcentral.